Molecule: transfer RNA, 63 nt
Filed under: Plagiopholis styani
Lineage: Eukaryota; Metazoa; Chordata; Lepidosauria; Squamata; Colubridae
Description: tRNA-Thr
Rfam family: tRNA
About the family: Transfer RNA (tRNA) molecules are approximately 80 nucleotides in length.
Source: RNAcentral
GUUCUGGUAGCUUAAUUAAAGCAUUGUUUUUGUAAACCAAAGCUGGGUCAAACCCCCCGAACA